RNAcentral lists this ribosomal RNA (253 nucleotides) under uncultured bacterium. Its description in RNAcentral is "partial 16S ribosomal RNA". It matches the Rfam family "Bacterial small subunit ribosomal RNA", at positions 524 to 776 of the family's 1533-position model. The record is from RNAcentral.
UACGGGGGGGGCAAGCGUUGUUCGGAAUUACUGGGCGUAAAGGGCUCGUAGGCGGCCCACUAAGUCCGACGUGAAAUCCCCAGGCUUAACUUGGGAACUGCGUCGGAUACUGGUGGGCUUGAAUCCGGGAGAGGGAUGCGGAAUUCCAGGUGUAGCGGUGAAAUGCGUAGAUAUCUGGAGGAACACCAAUGGCGAAGGCAGCUCGCUGGGACGGUACUGACGCUGAGACGCGAAAGCGUGGGGAGCAAACAGG